UUCCUCUGUGAGGUCAGCGGAGGGGGCGCAAGGUGGCUCAGGACGGCUCAGCGAGCCAAGGACAUGCACAGCGCCUUGCCCAGGCUCGCUUGUCCAGGAAGAGACAGGGGCAAGAACUCCAACUGGGGUCUGCCGCUCCCCAUUCCACUGUCCCAACAAAAGAACAAGGCUGCGAGGAGAGGCUGCCCAGAGCUCACAGGCCGGCGGAACCCGGCGGAACGAGUGUGCAUCAGCAUGGUGCCGAUGUUAUCAGCGCCCCUGCUGUCAAACAGGUGUCAUCCAGGCCUCCACAGGUGCACGGCCUGAGUCACAGGUCAGACACACAGGGCCAGGUGGGGCCUGGUAAUGGGCAUCCACCCUUACCCGAGCCCUGGGACCCCAUUAGAUCGGGGUCACCCUCUGUAAGAGCCACAGGGCCCUGAGCAGCAGUCGGGAGAGGAAACCCUUUAUCUGGAGGAAGUCUAGUUCUCCACACUCUGCAGAGGCAGUCUGCAGGGGCCACGGCCUUCCGGGAGGGAAAUCAGGCAGUGCCCAGUCUAAGAGACAGGGAGAACACAGGGCGGGCCUCCCCUUGAGCGCUGGGCACUGACACUGGGCAUUGCCGGCUGGCCCAGCCUCGGCAUGGGGACUGCUCUAAGCCGCACUCCUCCUCAGCCUCCGCCGGCGCCUCUGCUGCGUGCCCCCCACCUCCGCCACCUGUAAGCUCCGGCACCAGCCUGCGGUAUGUGCUGUGCUCGCCCUCCACCACAUGCUCCAGCCUAGAGCGCACGCCCACUUUCCCACAGUCUCUGCCCCGUGACCUCCGCCUCCACCUGCCCCUGCCCAGCGUGGCCUCUGGCCCACACCCUGAGUGGCCUCCACGUGGCUUUGCCUGCUGGGCACCAUCCACCCCAUCAAGCUCAGAACAGAAGUGUGCCUCUGCCUUCUUUCUCAAGCACUUCUGUCCCGUCGGCUUUGCCUGGACUUCGAUCCUCACUGGGCCGGGAAGACGCAGGAGUCAGCUGUGGUGAGAGCAGACAGGGGCUCCAUACCAACCACCCAGACCCCCGGCGACCUCACAUUAGAAGACGCCACGGCUCAGAGGACGGGGAGCAGCGGCAGAGGCAGCAGCCAAGUUCUGGAUCACGGCCUACAGGCCAGGAAGUGUGCUAGGUGCUUCACACGGGACAUCUUUAGACAGGGGAGCUGGAGCAGCUCACCCAGGUUCUCACAGCAGAUACUGGGGACCCUGGGACUCAGCCCUGUGCUCCGGAAGUGGCAGGCCAGACCUCAAACCUUCAGCUCCCUGGCCCCCGUGCUUGCUCACCUCCCUUUACUGCUUUCCUACGGAAAAGUCCCAAGACCUUGACUUUUACUCUCCACAGACGACCGCUCCUGACCCAAGUCGGUGGCUUCUGGGCUGCAGGUAGCAGGGAGUGUUCCACACCUGUGCACAGGCUCCGCUCGGGGGCUGCCAGAGGCAAGCCGCCCUGGCCGGGGGUCACCGAGGAAGGAGCCCACGAAACAGCUUCCAGGGGAACGUGCUUGGGUUACCAGCCCUCCCGGACUGAGGGGACCCCCAACGUCUGCUGGCUGCCAUCUGGCCCCCAUGUGCUCUGGAUUUGGACAGAGCUGUCUAGAUGGAGCCAAGAGUCAGAGUUGCUCUUUGCCAGGACCCCUUUCUCCUCCUCCUUCAGGGUUGUAAGCCACCCUGAACACCAGCUACGCAGCAGUCGCAGCUUUUCACAGGGUUCACGUGAGGAUGGGGUGGAGGGAGGGCCAGACUUCAGACCCUAGGAAGUCAAAAGCUACGCCCACUUAGCUGGAGGCUGCAGCAACUUCCUGCUGCAAGCACCACCCUUCGUCCUUAGGAAAUAAAGAUUUUUCUUCAUUCCUACA
Non-coding RNA from Oryctolagus cuniculus (rabbit), 1878 nucleotides. NCBI's taxonomy places the organism in Eukaryota, Metazoa, Chordata, Mammalia, Lagomorpha, Leporidae. The record is from RefSeq and is a predicted model, not a curated record.